AGGGUAUGGUAGUAGGUGCCUUUGAACAGGGUAUGGUAGUAGGUGCCUUUGAACAGGGUACGGUAGUAGGUGCCUUUGAACAGGGUACGGUAGUAGGUGCCUUUGAACAGGGUAUGGUAGUAGGUGCCUUUGAACAGGGUAUGGUAGUAGGUGCCUUUGAACAGGGUAUGGUAGUAGGUGCCUUUGAACAGGGUAUGGUAGUAGGUGCCUUUGAACAGGGUACGGUAGUAGGUGCCUUUGAACAGGGUACGGUAGUAGGUGCCUUUGAACAGGGUACGG
This is a long non-coding RNA of Oncorhynchus tshawytscha (Chinook salmon), 279 nucleotides long. The record is from Ensembl. Lineage: Eukaryota; Metazoa; Chordata; Actinopteri; Salmoniformes; Salmonidae.